Regulatory RNA element from Alkaliphilus metalliredigens QYMF, 130 nucleotides. It matches the Rfam family "PyrR binding site". From Rfam's summary of the family: This family represents the PyrR binding site and terminator structure. This RNA structure is found upstream of a variety of genes involved in pyrimidine biosynthesis and transport. Lineage: Bacteria; Bacillati; Bacillota; Clostridia; Peptostreptococcales; Natronincolaceae. The record is from Rfam.
UGAAUCUUUAAAUCAGUCCAGAGAGGCUGGCAAGGUUACGGUGUAACACAGUAUUUUAACGCUUCAAAAUGCUUUGUAUUUUGAAGGUUAAAACGUAGCUUCUUGCUGGUAUGCAAGAAGCUUUUUUAUU